RNAcentral lists this ribosomal RNA (627 nucleotides) under Fusarium penzigii. Its description in RNAcentral is "eukaryotic LSU rRNA". It matches the Rfam family "Eukaryotic large subunit ribosomal RNA", at positions 1 to 651 of the family's 3401-position model. The record is from RNAcentral. Lineage: Eukaryota; Fungi; Ascomycota; Sordariomycetes; Hypocreales; Nectriaceae.
UUGACCUCGGAUCAGGUAGGAAUACCCGCUGAACUUAAGCAUAUCAAUAAGCGGAGGAAAAGAAACCAACAGGGAUUGCCCUAGUAACGGCGAGUGAAGCGGCAACAGCUCAAAUUUGAAAUCUGGCUCUCGGGCCCGAGUUGUAAUUUGUAGAGGAUGCUUUUGGCAAGGUGCCUUCCGAGUUCCCUGGAACGGGACGCCAUAGAGGGUGAGAGCCCCGUCUGGUUGGACACCGAGCCUCUGUAAAGCUCCUUCGACGAGUCGAGUAGUUUGGGAAUGCUGCUCUAAAUGGGAGGUAUAUGUCUUCUAAAGCUAAAUACUGGCCAGAGACCGAUAGCGCACAAGUAGAGUGAUCGAAAGAUGAAAAGCACUUUGAAAAGAGAGUUAAAAAGCACGUGAAAUUGUUGAAAGGGAAGCGCUCAUGACCAGACUUGGGCUUGGUUGAUCAUCCGGCGUUCUCGCCGGUGCACUCUUCCAGUUCAGGCCAGCAUCAGUUUGCCCCGGGGGAUAAAAGCUUCGGGAAUGUGGCUCCUUCGGGAGUGUUAUAGCCCGUUGCAUAAUACCCUGAGGCAGACUGAGGACCGCGCUUCGUGCAAGGAUGCUGGCGUAAUGGUCAUCAGCGACCCG